CGCACAUUGCGCCCCCUGGUAUUCCGAGGGGCAUGCCUGUUCGAGCGUCAUUACAACCCUCAAGCACUGCUUGGUCUUGGGCUCCGCUGGGCAACCAGCGGGCCUCAAAGUCAGUGGCGGCGCCGUCGGGCCCUGAGCGUAGUAAACUAUCCUCGCUACAGGGACCCGCCGGACGCUGGCCAGCAACCCCCAGCUUUCUAAGUUUGACCUCGGAUCAGGUAGGGAUACCCGCUGAACUUAA
Molecule: unclassified non-coding RNA, 241 nt
Filed under: Helotiales sp.
Lineage: Eukaryota; Fungi; Ascomycota; Leotiomycetes; Helotiales
Description: partial contains 5.8S ribosomal RNA, internal transcribed spacer 2, and large subunit ribosomal RNA
Source: RNAcentral